GGUUUUCACCGGUGCUUUUG
Molecule: ribosomal RNA, 20 nt
Filed under: Leptosphaeria sclerotioides
Lineage: Eukaryota; Fungi; Ascomycota; Dothideomycetes; Pleosporales; Leptosphaeriaceae
Description: partial 18S ribosomal RNA
Source: RNAcentral